This 402-nucleotide ribosomal RNA is filed under the name Gymnosomata sp. 229_UnivF-1183. RNAcentral's name for it is "SSU rRNA". It matches the Rfam family "Eukaryotic small subunit ribosomal RNA", at positions 1239 to 1660 of the family's 1831-position model. The record is from RNAcentral. Lineage: Eukaryota; Metazoa; Mollusca; Gastropoda; Pteropoda.
GUUGACAGAUUGAUAGCUCUUUCUUGAUUCGGUGGGUGGUGGUGCAUGGCCGUUCUUAGUUGGUGGAGCGAUUUGUCUGGUUAAUUCCGAUAACGAACGAGACUCUAGCCUAUUAAAUAGUUCGUUGGUCCUUCGAUGUGCCAACGCAACUUCUUAGAGGGACGAGUGGCUUUUAGCCACACGAGAUUGAGCAAUAACAGGUCUGUGAUGCCCUUAGAUGUCCGGGGCCGCACGCGCGCUACACUGAAGGAAUCAGCGUGGAUACCCCCCUGGCCCGAAAGGGCUGGGAAACCCGUUGAAUCUCCUUCGUGCUAGGGAUUGGGGCUUGUAAUUCUUCCCCAUGAACGAGGAAUUCCCAGUAAGCGCCAGUCAUAAGCUGGCGUUGAUUACGUCCCUCCCCCU